RNAcentral lists this small RNA (134 nucleotides) under Pantoea conspicua. Its description in RNAcentral is "Yersinia sRNA 155(RyfD)". It matches the Rfam family "Yersinia sRNA 155(RyfD)". Lineage: Bacteria; Pseudomonadati; Pseudomonadota; Gammaproteobacteria; Enterobacterales; Erwiniaceae. The record is from RNAcentral.
AAGACGGUCCAGUUAGCGUGUUUUUCACUCAAAUCUCAGGUCAUUAACCUUGAAAUUUUGAGGGAUGACCUCAUUUAAUCUCCAGUAGCAUUUUGACCUGUAAUGGGAGGAAUUAUGCGUCUGGAUCGUCUUAC